UACGUAGGGGGCAAGCGUUAUCCGGAUUUACUGGGUGUAAAGGGAGCGUAGACGGCGAUGCAAGUCUGAAGUGAAAGGCGGGGGCCCAACCCCCGGACUGCUUUGGAAACUGUGAAGCUGGAGUGCAGGAGAGGUAAGCGGAAUUCCUGGUGUAGCGGUGAAAUGCGUAGAUAUCAGGAGGAACACCGGCGGCGAAGGCGGCUUACUGGACUGUAACUGACGUUGAGGCUCGAAGGCGUGGGGAGCAAACAGG
RNAcentral lists this ribosomal RNA (253 nucleotides) under uncultured Eubacteriales bacterium. RNAcentral describes it as "uncultured Clostridiales bacterium partial 16S ribosomal RNA". It matches the Rfam family "Bacterial small subunit ribosomal RNA", at positions 524 to 776 of the family's 1533-position model. Lineage: Bacteria; Bacillati; Bacillota; Clostridia; Eubacteriales. The record is from RNAcentral.